Molecule: ribosomal RNA, 251 nt
Filed under: uncultured prokaryote
Description: partial 16S rRNA
Rfam family: Bacterial small subunit ribosomal RNA
Source: RNAcentral
ACGGAGGAUCCAAGCGUUAUCCGGAUUUACUGGGUUUAAAGGGUGCGUAGGCGGUUUUAUAAGUGAGAGGUGAAAGCCUAUAGCUUAACUAUAGAAAGCCUUUGGAAAUUGCAAGUCUGGAGUAUGGUUGAGGAAGUUGGAAUGCGUGGUGUAGCGGUGAAAUGCGUAGAUAUGACGCAGAACACCAGCGGCGAAGGCAGCUUACCAGCCCGUUACUGACACUGAGGCACGAAAGCGUGGGGAUCAAACAG